GGACGGGUGAGUAACGCGUGGGUAACCUACCCCAAAGUCCGGGAUAACAGCGGGAAACCGCUGCUAAUACCGGAUGUCUUUACCUUGGGGCAUCUUGAGGUAAAGAAAGGUAACGCUUUGGGAUGGGCCCGCGUCCCAUUAGCUAGUUGGUGAGGUAACGGCUCACCAAGGCGACGAUGGGUAGCCGGCCUGAGAGGGUGGACGGCCACACUGGGACUGAGACACGGCCCAGACUCCUACGGGAGGCAGCAGUAGGGAAUAUUGCGCAAUGGACGGAAGUCUGACGCAGCGACGCCGCGUGAGCGAUGAAGGUCUUCGGAUCGUAAAGCUCUGUCCUUGGGGAAGAAGGCGAAAGCUUGACGGUACCCAAGAAGAAAGCCCCGGCUAACUACGUGCCAGCAGCCGCGGUAAUACGUAGGGGGCGAGCGUUGUCCGGAAUUACUGGGCGUAAAG
This 453-nucleotide ribosomal RNA is filed under the name uncultured bacterium. RNAcentral describes it as "bacterial SSU rRNA". It matches the Rfam family "Bacterial small subunit ribosomal RNA", at positions 100 to 565 of the family's 1533-position model. The record is from RNAcentral.